This 73-nucleotide transfer RNA is filed under the name Burkholderia ubonensis. Its description in RNAcentral is "tRNA-OTHER". It matches the Rfam family "tRNA". From Rfam's summary of the family: Transfer RNA (tRNA) molecules are approximately 80 nucleotides in length. Their secondary structure includes four short double-helical elements and three loops (D, anti-codon, and T loops). The record is from RNAcentral. Lineage: Bacteria; Pseudomonadati; Pseudomonadota; Betaproteobacteria; Burkholderiales; Burkholderiaceae.
CGUUCGAUAGCUCAUCCUGGAAGAGCAGCCUGCGAAAGCCGGCUGGUAGCGGGUUCGAAUCCCGCUCGAACGC